RNAcentral lists this ribosomal RNA (572 nucleotides) under uncultured bacterium. RNAcentral describes it as "bacterial SSU rRNA". It matches the Rfam family "Bacterial small subunit ribosomal RNA", at positions 331 to 913 of the family's 1533-position model. The record is from RNAcentral.
CCAGACUCCUACGGGAGGCAGCAGUGGGGAAUAUUGCACAAUGGGCGGAAGCCUGAUGCAGCAACGCCGCGUGCGGGAUGACGGCCUUCGGGUUGUAAACCGCUUUCGCCUGUGACGAAGCGUGAGUGACGGUAAUGGGUAAAGAAGCACCGGCUAACUACGUGCCAGCAGCCGCGGUGAUACGUAGGGUGCGAGCGUUGUCCGGAUUUAUUGGGCGUAAAGGGCUCGUAGGUGGUUGAUCGCGUCGGAAGUGUAAUCUUGGGGCUUAACCCUGAACGUGCUUUCGAUACGGGUUGACUUGAGGAAGGUAGGGGAGAAUGGAAUUCCUGGUGGAGCGGUGGAAUGCGCAGAUAUCAGGAGGAACACCAGUGGCGAAGGCGGUUCUCUGGGCCUUUCCUGACGCUGAGGAGCGAAAGCGUGGGGAGCGAACAGGCUUAGAUACCCUGGUAGUCCACGCUGUAAACGGUGGGUACUAGGUGUGGGGUCCAUUCCACGGGUUCCGUGCCGUAGCUAACGCUUUAAGUACCCCGCCUGGGGAGUACGGCCGCAAGGCUAAAACUCAAAGGAAUUGA